CUGAAGUCACAAAUAAAAAUAACUAAACGUUUAAAACUGGAACGUCACGUGUUUAGUUUCUAUCGUUAGUUAGUUUCUAUAUUGUGGGGCGCUGACAGGUGUGACGCUGUGAAGGCGUGAUGCUGACAGGUGUGACGCUGACAGGUGUGAUGCUGACAGGUGUGACGCUGUGAAGGUGUGACGCUGACAGGUGUGAUGCUGACAGGUGUGACGCUGACAGGUGUGACGCUGACAGGUGUGACGCUGUGAAGGUGUGACGCUGACAGGUGUGACGCUGACAGGUGUGACGCUGUGAAGGUGUGACGCUGACAGGUGUGAUGCUGACAGGUGUGACGCUGUGAAGGUGUGAUGCUGUGAAGGUGUGGCGCUGACAGGUGUGAUGCUGUGAAGGUGUGGCGCUGACAGGUGUGAUGCUGUGAAGGUGUGACGCUGACAGGUGUGAUGCUGACAGGUGUGACGCUGUGAAGGUGUGACGCUGACAGGUGUGACGCUGACAGGUGUGACGCUGACAGGUGUGAUGCUGUGAAGGUGUGAUGUGGACAGGUGUGAUGCUGACAGGUGUGACGCUGACGGGUGUGAUGCUGACAGGUGUGAUGCUGUGAAGGUGUGAUGUGGACAGGUGUGAUGCUGACAGGUGUGACGCUGACGGGUGUGAUGCUGACAGGUGUGAUGCUGUGAAGGUGUGAAGCUGACAGGUGUGACGCUGACAGGUGUGAUGCUGACAGGUGUGACGCUGACAGGUGUGAUGCUGACAGGUGUGAUGCUGACAGGUGUGACACAGACAGGUGUGACGCAGACAGUCGACCUACAGAUGACGUUCUUGGGUUGGAAAAUCUCCUUAAAGUCUUCUGCGUUGUGGAUUUCAGCUGACGACAUUUUCUC
This is a long non-coding RNA of Epinephelus fuscoguttatus (brown-marbled grouper), 882 nucleotides long. RefSeq lists it as uncharacterized. The transcript is spliced from 3 exons. The record is from RefSeq and is a predicted model, not a curated record. Lineage: Eukaryota; Metazoa; Chordata; Actinopteri; Perciformes; Serranidae.